RNAcentral lists this unclassified non-coding RNA (360 nucleotides) under Nocardia farcinica. RNAcentral's name for it is "16S-23S ribosomal RNA intergenic spacer". The record is from RNAcentral. Lineage: Bacteria; Bacillati; Actinomycetota; Actinomycetes; Mycobacteriales; Nocardiaceae.
CUAAGGAGCACUUCUCCACGAUGCGUCACACAGGUGAUUGUGGUCGUGGCAGAGGCCAUGUCGGACUCGAAUGUAGUCCGGUGGUUGCUCAUGGGUGGAACGCUGGCAUGUGCCUCGUGUAUCGGUUGGUCCUGUGUGGCCGGCCGGCGGGGAUGUAGUCGACACACUGUUGGGUCCUGAGAGAACACGCGAGUGACUCUCUAGGUAUGAGAUAACGACGAGGCUGGAUCUUCAGUCAUACCGCGGGGCUUUCUUCGGAGGGUUUCGGUCUGGUGCUGAGUCAGGGUUUGGUCUUGUGUGUUGUUUGAGAACUGCACAGUGGACGCGAGCAUCUUUGUUUGUAAGUGUUUAAGAGCGUUC